UAAGGUAAAAUAGAAUGAAAUUCAAAACAGUGUGGCUGCGGCCAUUGAUUGACACAUUAAAUUCAUCCAUUGACUGGGACAAUUUACGUGAACGUUUGUCUGUAACGACCACUGUUCACGACGUACCUACGAUAGACAUUUAAACUGUGGGGUCACCAAAGGUUUCUUAACGCCUUUAAUUAUAAAAUAAUUCGAAAAAUUAAUCAGGAAUAACCUUUAUGUUUUGAUUUAUAUAAUUGAUAUAAAUAAA
Molecule: long non-coding RNA, 250 nt
Filed under: Mytilus galloprovincialis (Mediterranean mussel)
Lineage: Eukaryota; Metazoa; Mollusca; Bivalvia; Mytilida; Mytilidae
Source: RNAcentral